RNAcentral lists this ribosomal RNA (693 nucleotides) under Triticum aestivum (bread wheat). RNAcentral's name for it is "partial small subunit ribosomal RNA". The record is from RNAcentral. Lineage: Eukaryota; Viridiplantae; Streptophyta; Magnoliopsida; Poales; Poaceae.
AUGGACGUGCACUCGGCGCCGGUGGCGGCGAGGAGGAUGUGGGGGUACCUGCGGGCGGUCUUCUUCAUGAUGCGCAAGGGCAAGCGCAAGCUGCUCCUCGGCGCGCACCUCCUCAUGAAGCGCCGCAACAAGGCCGUCUCGCGCUCCGUCGCCAACCUCCUCUCGCACCACCACCACCACGGUCACCACGGCGGCCGCGCGCUGCGCCGCCGCGAGUACGAGUUCUCCUGCGGCGACAGCCCCGACCCGGGCUCCUUCUCCAUGCGCCGCCUCGCCUUCCCCUGCCUCGGCGCCGCCGACGACGUCGACCAGCCCGGCCGCCUCCGCGCCGAGCACCCCGCGCCCGCCACGCCGCCGCGGCACAUGAUCGAGUACUACGCCAACGCGGCGGCCGCGUCCCCGGCGCCGUCGUCGCCCGGGGCGCUGAUGAUGAUGCACGAGGAGUCCGAGCUCGCGCUGGGGGAGGAAUGCACGCCGGCGGGGAUGUCACCGCUGGUGCCCGGCGCGGCCGACGGCGGGUUCUCGGUGCGGGUGUCCAACUUCUCGUCGGACGAGGUCGACACCGACCAGCUGGGCCUGGGCGAGGCCGUGGACGACGAGGCGGAGGAGUUCAUCGCCCGCUUCUACGCCCAGCUGCGCCGCCAGAACCACAUCGGGCUGCUCCCGUACUACCUCCAGGAGGCCGCCGCGUGA